UCUAAUUCAUUGAUAAGGAAGAGUAACUAAGAUAAAUAUUCAAAGAGAGUUAAGGAUGCUGGAAUCUUAACAAUAGAAGUUUUAGUGAAUGGACCUUGGAGAAAUAAAGCGAAAUCUUAUAUAGAAAGUAGUAUUUAUCGGGAGCCUGCCGUUAAAAGGGAUAGGGUAUGUUAGUACCUGAAUUUGAGAUAUGUUUAAAUUACUAUUAUUUAAGCAUAAAUUAGGUGGCACCGCGAAUAUAAUCUUCGUCCUAAUG
RNAcentral lists this non-coding RNA (256 nucleotides) under Clostridium botulinum. Its description in RNAcentral is "T-box sequence". It matches the Rfam family "T-box leader". Rfam says of the family: Uncharged tRNA acts as the effector for transcription antitermination of genes in the T-box leader family. The record is from RNAcentral. Lineage: Bacteria; Bacillati; Bacillota; Clostridia; Eubacteriales; Clostridiaceae.